RNAcentral lists this ribosomal RNA (645 nucleotides) under uncultured bacterium. RNAcentral describes it as "bacterial SSU rRNA". It matches the Rfam family "Bacterial small subunit ribosomal RNA", at positions 20 to 652 of the family's 1533-position model. The record is from RNAcentral.
UGGCUCAGAUUGAACGCUGGCGGCAGGCCUAACACAUGCAAGUCGAGCGGCAGCGGGAAAGUAGCUUGCUACUUUUGCCGGCGAGCGGCGGACGGGUGAGUAAUGCCUGGGAAAUUGCCCAGUCGAGGGGGAUAACAGUUGGAAACGACUGCUAAUACCGCAUACGCCCUACGGGGGAAAGCAGGGGACCUUCGGGCCUUGCGCGAUUGGAUAUGCCCAGGUGGGAUUAGCUUGUUGGUGAGGUAAUGGCUCACCAAGGCGACGAUCCCUAGCUGGUCUGAGAGGAUGAUCAGCCACACUGGAACUGAGACACGGUCCAGACUCCUACGGGAGGCAGCAGUGGGGAAUAUUGCACAAUGGGGGAAACCCUGAUGCAGCCAUGCCGCGUGUGUGAAGAAGGCCUUCGGGUUGUAAAGCACUUUCAGCGAGGAGGAAAGGUUGGUAGCUAAUAACUGCCAACUGUGACGUUACUCGCAGAAGAAGCACCGGCUAACUCCGUGCCAGCAGCCGCGGCAAUACGGAGGGUGCAAGCGUUAAUCGGAAUUACUGGGCGUAAAGCGCACGCAGGCGGUUGGAUAAGUUAGAUGUGAAAGCCCCGGGCUCAACCUGNGAAUUGCAUUUAAAACUGUCCAGCUAGAGUCUUGU